CCACAGGGUAGAACCACGGAC
RNAcentral lists this non-coding RNA (21 nucleotides) under Gallus gallus (chicken). Its record names the gene gga-miR-140-3p. RNAcentral also lists the same sequence under 1 other name. Lineage: Eukaryota; Metazoa; Chordata; Aves; Galliformes; Phasianidae. The record is from miRBase by way of RNAcentral.